Molecule: ribosomal RNA, 482 nt
Filed under: uncultured bacterium
Lineage: Bacteria
Description: partial 16S ribosomal RNA
Rfam family: Bacterial small subunit ribosomal RNA
Source: RNAcentral
AUUGAACGCUGGCGGCAUGCUUUACACAUGCAAGUCGAACGGUAACAGGCCGCAAGGUGCUGACGAGUGGCGAACGGGUGAGUAAUGCAUCGGAACGUGCCCAGUCGUGGGGGAUAACUACUCGAAAGAGUAGCUAAUACCGCAUACGAUCUAUGGAUGAAAGCGGGGGACCGUAAGGCCUCGCGCGAUUGGAGCGGCCGAUGUCAGAUUAGGUAGUUGGUGGGGUAAAGGCUCACCAAGCCAACGAUCUGUAGCUGGUCUGAGAGGACGACCAGCCACACUGGGACUGAGACACGGCCCAGACUCCUACGUGAGGCAGCAGUGGGGAAUUUUGGACAAUGGGCGCAAGCCUGAUCCAGCAAUGCCGCGUGCAGGAAGAAGGCCUUCGGGUUGUAAACUGCUUUUGUACGGAACGAAACGGCUCUGGUUAAUACCCGGGGCUAAUGACGGUACCGUAAGAACAAGCACCGGCUAACUACGUG